Molecule: non-coding RNA, 389 nt
Organism: Macaca mulatta (Rhesus monkey)
Lineage: Eukaryota; Metazoa; Chordata; Mammalia; Primates; Cercopithecidae
Source: RefSeq, a predicted model, not a curated record
CAGGCAUGAUACAAGGAGAGGCUGCAGAUGGGCUUGGAAAUUGGAGCUUGCUCUCUUGCAUCUCUGCCAUUGCCAUGAGAAUAAACAAGUCCAGGCAAGUCUACCCAUCCCAGGAGGAGGCUGAGGGUCUUGUGGAGCAGAUGAGGUUCAUCCAGAUCAGAUGACAGCUGUGGAGUCCUAGAGAGGUGCAUUGAAGGUUCUGACUGCUGAAAACAGAAAAUACAAAAAGAUUAAUGGGCCCGUUACCAAAGGAUUCACUGCCGACAGACAUGAGCUGCCUGUUCCCAUUUAGUAUCUCUGCAUCUUCCUGAAGGCUGAGUUUUAUUAUUUGACUCCUCAUAUCCCUUUAAACAAUAGGCUGUACAUAAAAUAAAAUCUACUGAAUCUCA